This 416-nucleotide ribosomal RNA is filed under the name uncultured Glomeromycotina. Its description in RNAcentral is "SSU rRNA". It matches the Rfam family "Eukaryotic small subunit ribosomal RNA", at positions 591 to 998 of the family's 1831-position model. The record is from RNAcentral. Lineage: Eukaryota; Fungi; Glomeromycota.
CCAAUUGCGUAUAUUAAAGUUGUUGCAGUUAAAAAGCUCGUAGUUGAACUUCGGGAUUGACCCAUCGGUCGUGCCUUAAGGGGUAUGAACUGGUGUAGUCAAUUUCUCACCUUCUGGAGAACCGUGAUGUCCUUAAUUGGGUGCCACGAGGAACCAGGACCUUUACUUUGAAAAAAUUAGAGUGUUUAAAGCAGGCAUUUUUGCUUGAAUACAUUAGCAUGGAAUAAUAAAAUAGGACGGCAUGAUUCUAUUUUGUUGGUUUCUAGGAUCACCGUAAUGGUUAAUAGGGAUAGUUGGGGGCAUUAGUAUUCAAUUGUCAGAGGUGAAAUUCUUGGAUUUAUUGAAGACUAACUAACUGCGAAAGCAUUUGCCAAGGAUGUUUUUCAUUUAAAUCUAAAGAACGAAAGUUAGGGGAU